AUGCAGGAAGUGGAGCAGCAGGAAGACAGGCUUAGUAAGCUGCCGGAUGAUAUUCUUCUGUCCGUUCUAGAUCGUCUCGACGUACGAGGCGCCGCAAGAAGCAGCAUCUUAAGCAGACGGUGGAGGCAUCUCCCUCUCGCGAUCAGUCGCAUCACCUUAGACGUUAAGCGCCACAAGCUUAAAGACGACGGCUCCAAGUCCGCUCUGUCCAAGAAGGCUCGGACCAACCUGUCCGUGGCAGAAGCAGCAAGGAGCCUGUUGGCACGCAGGGACCAGCGGCAGGCCGUCCGCGUCCUCUACCUGCGAUUCUACCUGGGAGACGAGACCAUGGGCAUCGUCCGCGCCGUCGACGACGCCAUGGCGCGCGGCUGCAGCAUCGGCAAGGCGACAUUCGUGAUCCUGGGCGAGAAGAUCGACACCCGGUGCACGGACGAGGACCUCGCCGGCCACGCUGCGCGCUUCCUGUCCUGCCUGGACGCAUGCCCCCGCGCGUUCGCCGGCCUCACGACGCUGCACGUGGAGAGCGUUAAGCUGGGGCAGCCGGACAUCAACAACCUGCUCGGCACCUGCGGCAGGCUGAAAAGCCUCUCUCUGCUCAACUGCGAUUCAGGCCGCGACACGGCCCUGGUCGUCCAACACCCGCGGAUCGCGGUGCUGAAGCUCGUGACCUGUGGCACCAUCCAACUGAGGUGGCUCCCGGAGCUGGUGAAGCUGACCUGUGAGUGCUGGCUUCCUUCACGAGAUCCACUCUUGUUUGGCCACGUCCCGCGGUUUCGGACUCUAGUACUCGCUACUAACUGCACCAGUGACUACAAGAUACUAAGGUUGAGCGAAUUACUUGACGAGAAUGCUACCGUCCGUGAACUGUGGAUGGGCUUCGACUCCGAGAGGCUCUGGAUUCAGCCGGAGGGCCCGAGGCAACUGGCUCCUCGACUAAGCAACUUGAGGAUUCUGAAUCUCCAGAAGAUUCCUGAAGAAUGCGGCAUCACGUGGACAUUCUUCCUGCUAGAGGCCGCACCUCUAUUGGAGGAGCUCGACGAUUGA
Molecule: ribosomal RNA, 1044 nt
Filed under: Triticum aestivum (bread wheat)
Lineage: Eukaryota; Viridiplantae; Streptophyta; Magnoliopsida; Poales; Poaceae
Description: partial small subunit ribosomal RNA
Source: RNAcentral